RNAcentral lists this ribosomal RNA (468 nucleotides) under uncultured bacterium. Its description in RNAcentral is "partial 16S ribosomal RNA". It matches the Rfam family "Bacterial small subunit ribosomal RNA", at positions 28 to 507 of the family's 1533-position model. The record is from RNAcentral.
GAUGAACGCUGGCGGCGUGCUUAACACAUGCAAGUCGAACGGAAAGGCCAUGCUUUUGUGGGGUGCUCGAGUGGCGAACGGGUGAGUAACACGUGAGUAACCUGCCCUUGACUUUGGGAUAACUUCAGGAAACUGGGGCUAAUAUCGGAUAGGAGCUCCUGCUGCAUGGUGGGGGUUGGAAAGUUUCGGCGGUUGGGGAUUGAAUCGCGGCUUAUCCGCUUGUUGGUGGGGUAGUGGCUUACCAAGGCUUUGACGGGUAGCCGGCCUGGGAGGGUGACCGGCCACAUUGGGACUGAGAUACGGCCCAGACUCCUACGGGAGGCAGCAGUGGAGAAUAUUGCACAAUGGGCGGAAGCCUGAUGCAGCAACGCCGCGUGCGGGAUGACGGCCUUCGGGUUGUAAACCGCUGUCGCCUGUGACGAAGCGUGAGUGACGGUAAUGGGUAAAGAAGCACCGGCUAACUACGUG